GAUGAACGCUGGCGGCGUGCCUAAUACAUGCAAGUCGAGCGAAUGGAUUAAGAGCUUGCUCUUAUGAAGUUAGCGGCGGACGGGUGAGUAACACGUGGGUAACCUGCCCAUAAGACUGGGAUAACUCCGGGAAACCGGGGCUAAUACCGGAUAACAUUUUGAACCGCAUGGUUCGAAAUUGAAAGGCGGCUUCGGCUGUCACUUAUGGAUGGACCCGCGUCGCAUUAGCUAGUUGGUGAGGUAACGGCUCACCAAGGCAACGAUGCGUAGCCGACCUGAGAGGGUGAUCGGCCACACUGGGACUGAGACACGGCCCAGACUCCUACGGGAGGCAGCAGUAGGGAAUCUUCCGCAAUGGACGAAAGUCUGACGGAGCAACGCCGCGUGAGUGAUGAAGGCUUUCGGGUCGUAAAACUCUGUUGUUAGGGAAGAACAAGUGCUAGUUGAAUAAGCUGGCACCUUGACGGUACCUAACCAGGAAG
Molecule: ribosomal RNA, 482 nt
Filed under: Bacillus cereus
Lineage: Bacteria; Bacillati; Bacillota; Bacilli; Caryophanales; Bacillaceae
Description: bacterial SSU rRNA
Rfam family: Bacterial small subunit ribosomal RNA
Source: RNAcentral